CAGAUGCCAAGAGGGCCUUAGCCCAGACAGAGCACCGACUACAUGGUGUCCAACUGACCCUGAGGCCAGCCCCACCACGUGCCCCUGAACGUGUGCUUCUCCAACACCUGCCACCCGGCACUUCACCUCUGAGCCUAGAGCAACAUGUUCAGGCCCUACUGUGUGCAGCAGGGCACCCCGUGCAGACUUGCUGUGUCCUGGCCAGUCCUCGGCAGGACUGUGCCCUGGUCCAGUUAUCCAUGCCUCUUUCUGAGGCAGACGUCUGUGCCCUGGUGGAACAGGCCCGAAAUCUGCCCCUAAAUGGAGCCACCGUGUCCUUGGCCUGGGUGCCUCAGACCCGAGCAGUACGUGUGGUGGAUAGCCCUGCUUCUGUGGACCUGCUGUUGUUGGAACUCUACCU
This 400-nucleotide long non-coding RNA is filed under the name Rattus norvegicus (Norway rat). Its description in RNAcentral is "long non-coding RNA NONRATT027051". Lineage: Eukaryota; Metazoa; Chordata; Mammalia; Rodentia; Muridae. The record is from RNAcentral.